GGGCCCAUAGCUCAGUCGGUUAGAGCGUCUGACUCAUAAUCAGGUGGUCGUAGGUUCGAGUCCUACUGGGCCCA
This 74-nucleotide transfer RNA is filed under the name Acidobacteriota bacterium. RNAcentral's name for it is "tRNA-Ile". It matches the Rfam family "tRNA". From Rfam's summary of the family: Transfer RNA (tRNA) molecules are approximately 80 nucleotides in length. Their secondary structure includes four short double-helical elements and three loops (D, anti-codon, and T loops). RNAcentral also lists the same sequence under 1 other name. Lineage: Bacteria; Pseudomonadati; Acidobacteriota. The record is from RNAcentral.